AAGCAUAUCAAUAAGCGGAGGAAAAGAAACCAACAGGGAUUGCCCCAGUAACGGCGAGUGAAGCGGCAACAGCUCAAAUUUGAAAUCUGGCCCCUAGGGUCCGAGUUGUAAUUUGUAGAGGAUGCUUUUGGUGAGGUGCCGCCCGAGUUCCCUGGAACGGGACGCCGCAGAGGGUGAGAGCCCCGUCUGGCUGGCCACCGAGCCUCUGUAAAGCUCCUUCGACGAGUCGAGUAGUUUGGGAAUGCUGCUCAAAAUGGGAGGUAUAUGUCUUCUAAAGCUAAAUAUUGGCCAGAGACCGAUAGCGCACAAGUAGAGUGAUCGAAAGAUGAAAAGCACCUUGAAAAGAGGGUUAAACAGUACGUGAAAUUGUUGAAAGGGAAGCGCUUGUGACCAGACUUGGGCGCGGCGGAUCAUCCGGGGUUCUCCCCGGUGCACUUCGCCGUGUUCAGGCCAGCAUCAGUUCGGCGCGGGGGAAAAAGGCUUCGGGAACGUGGCUCCUCCGGGAGUGUUAUAGCCCGUUGCAUAAUACCCUGCGCUGGACUGAGGACCGCGCAUCUGCAAGGAUGCUGGCGUAAUGGUCACCAGCGAC
RNAcentral lists this ribosomal RNA (589 nucleotides) under Trichoderma atroviride. RNAcentral describes it as "eukaryotic LSU rRNA". It matches the Rfam family "Eukaryotic large subunit ribosomal RNA", at positions 36 to 648 of the family's 3401-position model. The record is from RNAcentral. Lineage: Eukaryota; Fungi; Ascomycota; Sordariomycetes; Hypocreales; Hypocreaceae.